GCUGGUGUGGCUCAGUCGGUAGAGCAGCUGAUUCGUAAUCAGCAGGUCGCAGGUUCAAGUCCAGUCACCAGCUCCA
RNAcentral lists this transfer RNA (76 nucleotides) under Clostridia bacterium. RNAcentral describes it as "tRNA-Thr". It matches the Rfam family "tRNA". From Rfam's summary of the family: Transfer RNA (tRNA) molecules are approximately 80 nucleotides in length. Their secondary structure includes four short double-helical elements and three loops (D, anti-codon, and T loops). Lineage: Bacteria; Bacillati; Bacillota; Clostridia. The record is from RNAcentral.